GGGAAAGUGCACUUACAAUUAAUGCAAGAAGCACAGAGCUUUUAAAGACCUAUUCUGCCAGUGGAAUAAAAUCAUGUGGCUGUAUUUAUGAAGAUAAAAAUAUGUUUAGCAUAAUAAUAUAUAAAUAGCAAUAUUUUUACUGUAUCCACUUGAGUUUGCCUAAAGAUAAAGCUCUGCUGUAGGAUGUAAUUUAAUUUUAACCACACCCGCUGCACUGUAUAUAAAUGCUGGUAGGCUGAUCCACAAUGAUGGUCUGCAGAGGAUGAAUUUAGAGAAUUAUGAUGAACUCUUGACUUUUCUUCUAACACCAUCAUGAGGUUUAUAUUUAAAGUUAGGACUAAAAUGUGUUGAUGUGGCCUUAGUAUACUAAUCUGUGCAUUACAUUAGUUUAUAGGAGCAACAGCAACAUUAACAUUACUGAUAACAACCUAAAAUCUUUACCGUUCUAACAUAUAUGACUAAAAUCCUGAGCACAGUAACAUUAAUGCUUGCUGAAAAUCAACGUUUUUGCAUUUAAUGUUAAUGAGCUGUCAUUUGUGUGGCUGUACAUCUCAUAUUGUUAUAUUAAUCUGCAUGUAGUCAUUCCAGAUGAAGAAAUUUCUUUUUUUUAACAAGUUAGGAAAUGUAUGGCUUCAGGUGCAUUUUUAUAACAACUAUAGAGGGAUGUUACUACUCCGAGAAGGAUGCUGUGGAAAAAAGGGCUUCACCAAGCCAGCCAUCAAAGCAUCGCAGAAGUACAGAAAUUGACCCGUGGCAUAUUUCUGAAUGGCCCUGUAAAUAUGCCUGAAUUAAAAAAUGCAUCUGUCAUCAUUAUCGCAGUCAUCAUCUGCAUCGCCAUUUUGUCUGUCCCGCAUGAGAAAUAAUCGACUGUACAGUUUCAGAGCAUUGCUUUUGUCCCCAGCGUCUCAGCAGCGAAACUGACAGGAGGCCAGCUGUCUGCCCGUGUGUCUGCCUGUACUCUGCUCUUUAUUACCACCACCUCCUUCUGUAAUUACAAGCUCCAGUGCACACAAGCUCACCAUCAGGUGGGGCCAGGGCCACAAGCACAGCACCAGCAGCUCUCAUCAUUGUGGCAUUUUGAAUUCCCCCCGCGUGUCAGAGCUGCAGGCCAACAGGAGGCUUUUUGCACAUCAGAGGUGCCACAGCCUGCAGGCCAAUCAGCCAGCUGGGUGCUGUGGCUUCUCAGUACCGUAUCAACACUGCACAGCCUUCAGCAUGGCACACAGAGAUAAAAAAGAACUGAAGAUGGAGGCGAAAGAUCUGGGCAGAUGAACAUGGAGGCAAGAGCAAAUCAAGAAAAGUAGAGAAGUGUGGGAAAAUAACAUAAAAAGGAAUGAGGCACAUCGAUAUGACUGAAAUAACAAUAUUAAUAUCAGAAAAAAGUAGAAAAUAUUAUCCAGGACUUUAAGUAUAUUAAAUUGCAUAUGACACCACGUGAUAAUAAAGUGAAGCUGCUUUGAUGUCAAAAUUUGCAUAGAACGUCAAAAUUGCACGAUAGAUUGUCACCUAGCAGAGAAGACAAUGCAUCAGUGUGGAAAUAUGCAAGGAGAAGUCAUCUCAAUAACAGUUUCACAUCAUCACAAAGGGAGCUGUAGAGUCUCUCUCUCUUUUUUAAUCUGACACCAGUUUGGUUCUUACUCAUUUUAACAACUCAAACUUUAACUAUUAAACCAUGAGCAAGUCUAAUCUCCCAGUGAGAGCCCAAUAUUUUAUCUCAAUGUGGGAGUUAAACUCUGCAUUAAGACUGCUCGUUUGAGAUGUUCCACAAGGGUAUUUCAUUUUGGAAGACAGCGGGCUAAGAAGAUUAUAAGCACAUUUUUCAAUUUAUCUCACACACCCUGACUCCUUUUAUUGGCUGGGACCCUCUUAUCAUGUUUUGCCAGCAGCUAAAGCAGCCAUUGGCAUCUUCCACUGUAUCCUCUACUUUGGAGUAGUUGCAUUUGAUGCAAUAUUAGACUACACUUAUUUUUACCCCGAGUGUGGCCUUUUUGAACAUUUUGUUUCUCAUAGUUGUGCAUGUGCGUUAUUAAUGCGUUUCGGUGUUCUAAAUGGCAACUUGAUGAAAUCAAGUUAACUCAAGGGAUGACUUUGGGAAAACAGAGGAUUACAUAAAAAUGUUAAGUCUGUGUUAUUCAUCAUCUGGACCUUGAGUGAGUCACAAAGGGAGAGAGGGGGAAGGGGGGGGGGAGAGAGAGAAGUUGCUGAUGUUUAAAAAAACGGGAGAAAAAAAGCUGCAGGAGUAACGAUAUAAAACCUUGAGACAAGCGGAUGCUCCUCUCUCAAACCCGCUGCCAUCUCAGUGGUGGAAAUGUUGGAGUUGGGGAGGGUCGACUUUGAGGUGACAUUGACGCUAUGUAGACGA
RNAcentral lists this long non-coding RNA (2362 nucleotides) under Oreochromis niloticus (Nile tilapia). RNAcentral's name for it is "lncRNA (ENSONIG00000033891.1)". Lineage: Eukaryota; Metazoa; Chordata; Actinopteri; Cichliformes; Cichlidae. The record is from RNAcentral.